CUACGGGUGGCUGCAGUGGGGAAUAUUGGACAAUGGGCGAAAGCCUGAUCCAGCCAUGCCGCGUGUGUGAAGAAGGCCUUCGGGUUGUAAAGCACUUUCAGUGGGGAAGAAAGCCUUGGGGCUAAUACCCUCGAGGAAGGACAUCACCCACAGAAGAAGCACCGGCUAACUCCGUGCCAGCAGCCGCGGUAAUACGGAGGGUGCGAGCGUUAAUCGGAAUUACUGGGCGUAAAGCGCGCGUAGGCGGUCUGAUAAGCCGGUUGUGAAAGCCCCGGGCUCAACCUGGGAACGGCAUCCGGAACUGUCAGGCUAGAGUGCAGGAGAGGAAGGUAGAAUUCCCGGUGUAGCGGUGAAAUGCGUAGAGAUCGGGAGGAAUACCAGUGGCGAAGGCGGCCUUCUGGACUGACACUGACGCUGAGGUGCGAAAGCGUGGGUAGCAAACAGGAUUAGAUACCCCUGUAGUC
This 464-nucleotide ribosomal RNA is filed under the name Vreelandella stevensii. RNAcentral's name for it is "partial 16S ribosomal RNA". It matches the Rfam family "Bacterial small subunit ribosomal RNA", at positions 339 to 795 of the family's 1533-position model. The record is from RNAcentral. Lineage: Bacteria; Pseudomonadati; Pseudomonadota; Gammaproteobacteria; Oceanospirillales; Halomonadaceae.